GCCGGGCGUGGUGGCUCACGCCUGUAAUCCCAGCACUUUGGGAGGCUGAGGCGGGUGGAUCACCUGAGGUCAGGAGUAGAAGACCAGCCUGGCCAACAUGAUGAAACCCCGUCUCUA
RNAcentral lists this non-coding RNA (117 nucleotides) under Gorilla gorilla gorilla (western lowland gorilla). The record is from Rfam by way of RNAcentral. Lineage: Eukaryota; Metazoa; Chordata; Mammalia; Primates; Hominidae.